RNAcentral lists this ribosomal RNA (495 nucleotides) under uncultured bacterium. Its description in RNAcentral is "partial 16S ribosomal RNA". It matches the Rfam family "Bacterial small subunit ribosomal RNA", at positions 28 to 507 of the family's 1533-position model. The record is from RNAcentral.
GACGAACGCUGGCGGCGUGCCUAAUACAUGCAAGUAGAACGCUGAAGGAGGAGCUUGCUUCUCUGGAUGAGUUGCGAACGGGUGAGUAACGCGUAGGUAACCUGCCUGGUAGCGGGGGAUAACUAUUGGAAACGAUAGCUAAUACCGCAUAGGAGUAGAUGUUGCAUGACAUUUGCUUAAAAGGUGCAAUUGCAUCACUACCAGAUGGACCUGCGUUGUAUUAGCUAGUUGGUGGGGUAACGGCUCACCAAGGCGACGAUACAUAGCCGACCUGAGAGGGUGAUCGGCCACACUGGGACUGAGACACGGCCCAGACUCCUACGGGAGGAAGCAGUAGGGAAUCUUCGGCAAUGGAGGGAAGUCUGACCGAGCAACGCCGCGUGAGUGAAGAAGGGUGUCGGAUCGUAAAGCUCUGUUGUAAGAGAAGAACGAGUGUGAGAGUGGAAAGUUCACACUGUGACGGUAUCUUACCAGAAAGGGACGGCUAACUACGUG